This 533-nucleotide ribosomal RNA is filed under the name uncultured bacterium. Its description in RNAcentral is "bacterial SSU rRNA". It matches the Rfam family "Bacterial small subunit ribosomal RNA", at positions 777 to 1304 of the family's 1533-position model. The record is from RNAcentral.
AAUAGAUACCCAGGUAGUCCACGCCGUAAACGGUGGGCACUAGGUGUGGGCAACAUUCCACGUUGUCCGUGCCGCAGCUAACGCAUUAAGUGCCCCGCCUGGGGAGUACGGCCGCAAGGCUAAAACUCAAAGGAAUUGACGGGGGCCCGCACAAGCGGCGGAGCAUGUGGCUUAAUUCGACGCAACGCGAAGAACCUUACCAAGGCUUGACAUACACCGGAAAGCAUCAGAGAUGGUGCCCCCCUUGUGGUCGGUGUACAGGUGGUGCAUGGCUGUCGUCAGCUCGUAUCGUGAGAUGUUGGGUUAAGUCCCGCAACGAGCGCAACCCUUGUCCCGUGUUGCCAGCAACUCUUCGGAGGUUGGGGACUCACGGGAGACCGCCGGGGUCAACUCGGAGGAAGGUGGGGACGACGUCAAGUCAUCAUGCCCCUUAUGUCUUGGGCUGCACACGUGCUACAAUGGCCGGUACAAUGAGCUGCGAUACCGCAAGGUGGAGCGAAUCUCAAAAAGCCGGUCUCAGUUCGGAUUGGGGU